AGUGAACGCUGGCGGUAGGCCUAACACAUGCAAGUCGAACGGCAGCACAGUAAGAGCUUGCUCUUACGGGUGGCGAGUGGCGGACGGGUGAGGAAUACAUCGGAAUCUACUUUUUCGUGGGGGAUAACGUAGGGCAACUUACGCUAAUACCGCAUACGACCUACGGGUGAAAGCAGGGGAUCUUCGGACCUUGCGCGAUUGAAUGAGCCGAUGUCGGAUUAGCUAGUUGGCGGGGUAAAGGCCCACCAAGGCGACGAUACGUAGCCGGUCUGAGAGGAUGAUCCGCCACACUGGAACUGAGACACGGUCCAGACUCCUACGGGAGGCAGCAGUGGGGAAUCUUCGGCAAUGGGCGGAAGCCUGACCCAGCCCCGCCGCGUGGGUGAAGAAGGGCUUCGGGUUUUAAAACCCUUUUUUUAGGGAAGAAAAAGUGUCUGGUUAACUCCCCGCGUUUUGACGGUACCCAAACAAAAAGCACCGGCUAACUUCGUG
This 492-nucleotide ribosomal RNA is filed under the name uncultured bacterium. RNAcentral's name for it is "partial 16S ribosomal RNA". It matches the Rfam family "Bacterial small subunit ribosomal RNA", at positions 29 to 507 of the family's 1533-position model. The record is from RNAcentral.